UCUCAUUUCAGAAGAAAUCAUAGGCUUAGUCAGUCUCUGUCAUAAAGUAAUACAAAACCCUUAUAUAUUACAGUAAUAACUGUGAGUGCAUUUGUGUCAAAACCAAUAGGAUGCAAUGCAUGAACGUCUUAAGGAAAGUGAACCUUUCUACACGUAAUUAUCAUUGAAACGGUGAAGAUAUGAUGAAAUUAGCAUAGAUUUUCAGACCCCACUUCAAUUUUUUUCUGCUUUCAAUUAGGGUUGUUGGGCUGUGAAUAGUUGAAAAGGGUGAAGUUGGUGUGCCAUGAACGCUCGCAAAUACAAUUCACGUGUACUGGACGUAAUAGAAGUAUUUCUUACUAACUGUUUCUGGGAUGAAGGUGCACCGCAAUAAUUUCAUUUCCAGUUUGCUUUAUUUGCUUUGACCAACAGAUCAUCAGGAUCAUUGAUUAGCAGCUUAUGUUAGGAAAUCAUAUAUCGGAAGAUGCUGGAUGGAACCUCCAUGGCAGGUUGCAACAAAUUAGGUCGAUAAAGCUAUUGGAAUCUCAGGUGAUUACUAUGAAAUCAUGAUUAAUGCCGAUAGUAUGAACAUUUGAUUGAUCUCUCUGUUGCAAAAAAUGAAGGUAAAAUCAGUUUUACAACAUGUCUCUUUCUCCCCCUUCCUCCCUCCUGCUCCUCCUCCUUGAAUCAGGACAAAGAAGAAAAGGACGACUACAUAUCAACGAACACCAUUGACGCGUUCUUGUUAGGGGGUAAAGAAAGAUGUCUUAAGGGUCUCAAUAUGGUGGAAAAUUUAGAGAGUUUGCUGCAACCCCCUCCUCUAACCAUCUCCCUCUAGGGUCAAAUGGGUCACCAUCGACUCUGUCGCUAUCUAGCUUUUUAAGUUUUUUGGGCUAUCAAACUGAAAGAUUCUGAUGACAAACUCCUGAUGAUUAUUUUAAAAUGCAUCAUUUUGCGACUUCCAAGCAUUUAAAUUGGCACCAAAAGAGUUGUAGCAACCAAUCUUGUAGGCCUGAAUAAGACCAUGCACCUUAAUUACACCC
This is a non-coding RNA of Theobroma cacao (cacao), 1022 nucleotides long. Lineage: Eukaryota; Viridiplantae; Streptophyta; Magnoliopsida; Malvales; Malvaceae. The record is from RefSeq and is a predicted model, not a curated record.